AUGUGGGAGGAAUGCUUGCCUCAUAUUGAAUUUGCUUAUAAUCGUUCAUUGCAUUCUACUACUAAGAUGUGCCCUUUUGAAGUUGUGUAUGGUUUCCUACCUCGUGCACCUAUUGAUUUGUUGCCUCUUCCAUCUUCGGAGAAGGUUAAUUUUGAUGCUAAACAACGUGCUGAAUUGAUUUUAAAAAUGCAUGAGUUAACUAAGGAAAACAUUGAGCGUAUGAAUGCUAAAUAUAAACUUGCUGGAGAUAAGGGUAGAAAACAUGUUGUGUUUGCACCUGGAGAUCUUGUUUGGUUACAUUUGCGUAAGGAUAGAUUUCCUGAUUUGCGGAAAUCAAAGCUAAUGCCACGUGCUGAUGGUCCCUUUAAGGUGUUAGAGAAAAUAAAUGAUAAUGCAUAUAAACUUGAGCUGCCUGCAGAUUUUGGGGUUAGUCCCACUUUUAACAUUGCAGAUUUGAAGCCUUAUUUGGGUGAGGAAGAUGAGUUUUCGUCGAGGACGACUUCAUUUCAAGAAGGGGAGGAUGAUGAGGACAUCAAUACCAUUGUUACACCCACAGCCCCUACUGCUACAUAUACGGGACCAAUUACUAGAGCUCGUGCACGCCAACUAAAUUACCAGGAAACAGACCCUCGUGGUCAGGUUGAUCGUGCUCCGGCGUGGUCAAUAACCUCUCGGAGUUGGUUUAGCGAUUGCUAA
Molecule: ribosomal RNA, 696 nt
Filed under: Triticum aestivum (bread wheat)
Lineage: Eukaryota; Viridiplantae; Streptophyta; Magnoliopsida; Poales; Poaceae
Description: partial small subunit ribosomal RNA
Source: RNAcentral